GCCUACAGCCAUGCCAUCCUAAACAUGCCUGAUCUCAGAAGCUAAGCAGGGUCGGGCCUGGUUAGUACUUGGAUGAGAGAUAAUGUAAAGCACUUUCCAAAAUGUUGUUACCA
Molecule: ribosomal RNA, 113 nt
Filed under: Carlito syrichta (Philippine tarsier)
Lineage: Eukaryota; Metazoa; Chordata; Mammalia; Primates; Tarsiidae
Source: RNAcentral